GUCUACAGCCAUACCACUCUGAACGUGCCCUAACUCGUCUGACCUUGGAAACUAAGCCGGGUUGGGCCUGGUUAGUACUUGGAUGGGAGGAAGAUGAGGAAGGAAGUAAAGGGAGGCUCGAGAUA
Molecule: ribosomal RNA, 125 nt
Filed under: Castor canadensis (American beaver)
Lineage: Eukaryota; Metazoa; Chordata; Mammalia; Rodentia; Castoridae
Source: RNAcentral